CACGAAGUUAGCCGGGGCUUCUUCUCCGACUACCGUCAUUAUCUUCAUCGGUGAAAGAGCUUUACAACCCUAAGGCCUUCAUCACUCACGCGGCAUGGCUGGAUCAGGCUUGCGCCCAUUGUCCAAUAUUCCCCACUGCUGCCUCCCGUAGGAGUCUGGGCCGUGUCUCAGUCCCAGUGUGGCUGAUCACCCUCUCAGACCAGCUAAAGAUCGUCGCCUUGGUGAGCCAUUACCUCACCAACUAGCUAAUCUUACGCGGGCUCAUCCAAAUCCGAUAAAUCUUUCCCCCGUAGGGCGUAUACGGUAUUAGCAGUCGUUUCCAACUGUUGUUCCGUAGAUCUGGGUAGAUUCCCACGCGUUACUCACCCGUCUGCCACUCCCUAUUGCUAGGGCGUUCGACUUGCAUGUGUUAAGCCUGCCGCCAGCGUCGUUCUGUAGCCAGGAGUCAAACUC
This 453-nucleotide ribosomal RNA is filed under the name uncultured Devosia sp. Its description in RNAcentral is "partial 16S ribosomal RNA". Lineage: Bacteria; Pseudomonadati; Pseudomonadota; Alphaproteobacteria; Hyphomicrobiales; Devosiaceae. The record is from RNAcentral.